UACGUAGGGUGCGAGCGUUGUCCGGAAUUAUUGGGCGUAAAGAGCUCGUAGGCGGUGUGUCACGUCGGCCGUGAAAACCUGCAGCUUAACUGUGGGCGUGCGGUCGAUACGGGCAUCACUGGAGUUCGGCAGGGGAGACUGGAAUUCCGGGUGUAGCGGUGGAAUGCGUAGAGAUCCGGAAGAACACCGGAGGCGAAGGCGGCUUGCUGGGCGUGAUCUGACGCUGAGGCGCGAAAGCGUGGGGAGCGAACAGG
RNAcentral lists this ribosomal RNA (254 nucleotides) under uncultured bacterium. RNAcentral's name for it is "partial 16S ribosomal RNA". It matches the Rfam family "Bacterial small subunit ribosomal RNA", at positions 524 to 776 of the family's 1533-position model. The record is from RNAcentral.